UGGGGAAUAUUGGACAAUGGGCGAAAGCCUGAUCCAGCCAUGCCGCGUGGGUGAAGAAGGCCUUAGGGUUGUAAACCCCUUUCAGCGGGGAAGAUAAUGACGGUACCCGCAGAAGAAGCCCCGGCUAACUCCGUGCCAGCAGCCGCGGUAAUACGGAGGGGGCUAGCGUUGUUCGGAAUUACUGGGCGUAAAGCGCGCGUAGGCGGAUCUGCAAGUCAGGGGUGAAAUCCCGAGGCUCAACCUCGGAACUGCCUUUGAUACUGCGGAUCUCGAGUCCGAGAGAGGUGAGUGGAAUUCCUAGUGUAGAGGUGAAAUUCGUAGAUAUUAGGAAGAACACCAGUGGCGAAGGCGGCUCACUGGCUCGGUACUGACGCUGAGGCGCGAAAGCGUGGGGAGCAAACAGGAUUAGAUACCCUGGUAGUCCACGCCGUAAACUAUGGGUGCUAGCCGUCGGAGAGCAUGCUCUUCGGUGGCGCAGCAAACGCAUUAAGCA
Molecule: ribosomal RNA, 493 nt
Filed under: uncultured Pseudomonadota bacterium
Lineage: Bacteria; Pseudomonadati; Pseudomonadota
Description: bacterial SSU rRNA
Rfam family: Bacterial small subunit ribosomal RNA
Source: RNAcentral